AUUGAACGCUGGCGGAAUGCUUUACACAUGCAAGUCGAACGGCAGCACGGGGGCAACCCUGGUGGCGAGUGGCGAACGGGUGAGUAACACAUCGGAACGUGCCCAGUCGUGGGGGAUAACGUAGCGAAAGCUACGCUAAUACCGCAUACGAACUCUGGUUGAAAGCGGGGGACUCGCAAGGGCCUCGCGCGAUUGGAGCGGCCGAUGGCAGAUUAGGUAGUUGGUGGGGUAAAGGCCUACCAAGCCGACGAUCUGUAGCUGGUCUGAGAGGACGACCAGCCACACUGGGACUGAGACACGGCCCAGACUCCUACGGGAGGCAGCAGUGGGGAAUUUUGGACAAUGGGCGCAAGCCUGAUCCAGCCAUUCCGCGUGCAGGAUGAAGGCCCUCGGGUUGUAAACUGCUUUGUACGGAACGAAAGGCCUCUUCUAAUACAGGGGGCUCAUGACGGUACCGUAAGAAUAAGCACCGGCUAACUACGUGCCAGCCGCCG
RNAcentral lists this ribosomal RNA (494 nucleotides) under uncultured bacterium. Its description in RNAcentral is "bacterial SSU rRNA". It matches the Rfam family "Bacterial small subunit ribosomal RNA", at positions 29 to 517 of the family's 1533-position model. The record is from RNAcentral.